AUAUAAACUUAAACAACCCCCCCCCCGCCCCUGCAACAAUAUUGCUGUACCAUUCGACAACCUAAUAUUGUUUGAAUUGUAUGCAGCCACUUGUAUUCCCUGCAUCACAUAGAUAUCGUACAUAUUUUAUAUAAAUAAAUAAAACUGAUACAGUUAGAAUAAUACAAAAAAAAGUUAGUUAAAGCAAAACAACAUAAUAAACAAGUAAAUAAAAGAAAAUCAGCAAGUGAUUGAGAGUGGUCCUUAUGGAUUUCAAAUUAUACAUAGUACAGGAGCAGUCAUAUAGAACACCAAUAUUAGUGACAUCUUAUUUCUCUAUAUAACUUAAAAAAGAUUUCCAUGUAUCAUGAAAUUUUUGAAUACAUCCUCUUGUAGAGUAACAAAUCUUCUCUAGUACCAAAUGGUGUAGAAGAUCAUUGAUCCACAUCUUAAAGGUUGGAGGAAGUUUCUCCUUUCACUUAAAAAGUAUUAAUCGCCUAGCUAUAAGAGAUGCAAAAGCUAUCAUAUUCUUUGCCUGGCGGUUAAGGAGAGAGUCUUGUGGAGUUAUUCCAAAUAUGGCAGUAAUGGCAGAAGGUUCAAUAAGUACUUGUAAAACAUCUGAAAAAGUUUUAAAUAUUGACUGCCAAAAAUUGUCCAGUUUUGAACAAGACCAGAACAUAUGCGAGAGUGUGGCUGGUGCUUGCCUGCAUCGAUCACAAAUGGGAUCAGUGCUAGGUGAAUGAAGAUGAUGCAUAACCUUAAACUGGAUAACUUUGUGUCGUAAGCAGAUUGAAGAGGAAUGUAUUCUAUCUAAAGCUCUUUCCCAAAUCUCCUCAGGAAGUUCAAACCCCAAAUCGUCCUCCCAUUGAGUCUUUAAUGAUGUCAAAGGUUCCAAAUUAUAUGUAUUUAGUAAGGAGUAUAUGUUCCCAAUAUUCCCUUUGGAACCUGAAUUAAGCUUGAGAAUGGAAUUCAGGAGGGUGCUGGGUGGUUGGGAUGGGAAAUGAGUAAAUGAUAUUGAUAUGAAACUACGGAGCUGCAAAAAUCUAAAAAGAUGAGAGUUUGGGAUGUUAAAUUUAAGCUUUAGUUGAUCAAAAGAUGCGAAAGUACUAUCAAUAAAUAGAUCUUCUAUUGUGGCGACUCCUCUAUUAGCUCAUUCAUGAAAAGCACCAUCCAUAAUUGACGGCAUAAACUGGUGGUUUUUUGUUAUAGGAGCACAAGUGGGCAGAUCCCUGAGAGAGAACCUUCGUCUGAACUGUGUCAGAAUUCUAAAAGAGUGUUUCACAAUUGGAUUUGAGACUCUGCUGGAUGGCUGUAUUUUUCCAACCUCGAGGAAAAAAUCAAAAAUAAGACCUGUGUGUAAAGUCCUUGGAGCAACAUCACAUAAAGAUUUUAGACCAGUCGCACUCACCUCUGUUUUAGCUUGUUAUGUGCGGUCUGUAGGUGUGUGGCCUGUUCUCUCUCAUCCUCUCUCUCCCUCUAGCCUUCUCUUUUACCCCUCCUUCUUCUCCUCUUCUGAAGUAGCUGAGUGCAAUUGUUAUUCAGAAAGGAGGAGGAGAUGCUUUGAAUUACUUUGGGUUACUUUGAUCAAUAAAGUUUGGAUCAUUGAUUUUUUUGUCUGGCAUCCUCUUUCAUGUGCUAUGGUCUCCUAACAAGCCUUUGUUUAAUUAUUAUUCUUUAUGGAGGCCAUAACAUAUUUGGGGGCUUGUCUCCACGCGUUUUCCCCCACAUAUUGGCAUUGUUUUGUAGGCUUCUUUAAACGCUGACUGCGGGUGAGGCUGAUGGCUUCUGUUCUUGCCUCAGUGUUGUACCUGCAUAUUUUUGUGUUACCACAGUUACUUGUGGCUGCAAACUGUGUCACUGUAAUUUUUUUUUCACUCCACGUCUUUGUUGAUGCACAGUCUGACACUGUGGGUUGUUCCCUUGACUGUUUGUAUUGUUUGCAUUGUGCCUACAUAUUGUAUGCUUGUUGCAGUUUUGUGCACAUGGUUUUGGGACGCCGCAGAUUUUGUCCUGCUUUUCAGUUUGAGCAGUGUUUUGUGUAUGUUGUGCCAUUUCACAGGGCUGUGUUUUUGUAUUUGCCCAUUUCUCCCUUGACUUGGCAGACUUUUUGUGAUGUGUAUUUUUGGUGAUACUUGCUCUGAGCUAAGCUUGAAGACUGUGGCGUAUCCAUGUCUUAAUAAAUUCCAUCACUCUA
Lates calcarifer (barramundi perch) is the source of this 2173-nucleotide long non-coding RNA. RefSeq lists it as uncharacterized. The transcript is spliced from 2 exons. The record is from RefSeq and is a predicted model, not a curated record. Lineage: Eukaryota; Metazoa; Chordata; Actinopteri; Centropomidae.